Molecule: ribosomal RNA, 442 nt
Filed under: uncultured bacterium
Lineage: Bacteria
Description: partial 16S ribosomal RNA
Rfam family: Bacterial small subunit ribosomal RNA
Source: RNAcentral
CCUACGGGAGGCAGCAGUAGGGAAUCUUUCACAAUGGGCGAAAGCCUGAUGGAGCAACGCCGCGUGCAGGAUGAAGGCCUUCGGGUUGUAAACUGCUUUUAUAAGCGAGAAAUAUGAUGGUAACUUAUGAAUAAGGAUCGGCUAACUACGUGCCAGCAGCCGCGGUCAUACGUAGGAUCCGAGCAUUAUCCGGAGUGACUGGGUGUAAAGAGUUGCGUAGGUGGCAUAAUAAGUAGCUAGUGAAAUCUGGUGGCUCAACCAUUCAGACUAUUAGCUAAACUGUUAAGCUCGAGACCGUUAGGGGUAACUGGAAUUGCUAGUGUAGGAGUGAAAUCCGUAGAUAGUAGAAGGAACACCAAUAGCGUAGGCAGGUUGCUGGGACGGUUCUGACACUAAGGCACGAAAGCGUAGGGAGCAAACGGGAUUAGAUACCCCUGUAGUC